UUCUUUUUCUCUCCCAUAUAAAAUACACAUUACAGUCUAACCCUAACCUAAUUUAUUUGAAGCAACAACGCCACUCCCCAUUUUGACAGCUCUCAUUCUCUCAUGAGAAAAGAAGAAGGCAGCAGCCAUCUUCCAUUUUUAACAAAAAAUCAGCCACGAAAAAGACAAACCUACACACGCAUAGAAAGAUAGAGAACGAGAGAGGUGACGAAGAAGAAGGAAGAAAUGAGUAUUUCUUGUUCAAGGAAAUUUCUGUUCAAACAUACGUGAUACAACAUAGCUCUCAAACCUCAUUCAUAACCUAUAUCAUCUUCCUUAUCACAAAAUCAGUUCUCUAUUCCUCCUCUUGUUCUAUUAGACUACGGAAAUUCGUCUUCCUGCCGACAUAAAUUGCGAAAUGCUCGACAAAUAUAAGUUUUUCCUUCCUUGGAGUAGUACUGUUUUCGGGUGUGUGUGCAACAUUUUACCCUUUUGAUUGAGGUCGAUUUUGGUUUCGAGUUUUCCGGUGUCGAUUCGAGGUUCCGGUUCGCAAUUUAGGCGCCUCAAAUUUAACUAAGGUCCUUUUUUUAUUGUUAAAUUUGGAUAUUCAUUUUGCAGUUCAUCUUGUACUAGUUUGUGCCUGAGAUUCUGCCACUUAGGAAAUUCACAUGUUAAUGUUAUCUUAUCGUGUUUGUGUAAUUUGUUGGUGUUUGUUAUUUUGUGAUAUUUUUGUUGUCUAUUUGUCUGUGUUGCAGACUCAUGGGAAUUUAUUAUUUGCCUCUUUACAUGAAUAAAAAUUUCUUUGUUUAGUAUUAUUUCUUUAUUAUUCCCUAUCAUUUCAUGCCAUUAGAAAUGAAAGUAUAUCCUGUUAAUGGUUCUUUAUGGUAUUGACUUGAAUGUUUUCUGAAAUCAUACAGCAACUUCACGCCUAAGCUUUUUCGGUGGAUUUCUUUAAUUAGAACAUUCGCCGUUAAUCUUGUUUCUUUGGAAAUUAAUUAACCUUUUUGGAUAUUCGUAGUUUGCUCUAGGCGCAAUUAAUAAAUCAUCGGGCCAUGGAUACUGUCACGACCCUAAAUCCAGAC
Molecule: long non-coding RNA, 1061 nt
Filed under: Nicotiana tabacum (common tobacco)
Lineage: Eukaryota; Viridiplantae; Streptophyta; Magnoliopsida; Solanales; Solanaceae
Description: long non-coding RNA (NTAB_LNC008837)
Source: RNAcentral